This 460-nucleotide ribosomal RNA is filed under the name uncultured bacterium. Its description in RNAcentral is "partial 16S ribosomal RNA". It matches the Rfam family "Bacterial small subunit ribosomal RNA", at positions 338 to 795 of the family's 1533-position model. The record is from RNAcentral.
CCUACGGGAGGCAGCAGUGAGGACUAUUGGUCAAUGGACGAGAGUCUGAACCAGCCAAGUAGCGUGAAGGCUGACUGCCCUAUGGGUUGUAAACUUCUUUUAUAAAGGAAUAAAACGAGGCACGUGUGCCUUUUUGCAUGUACUUUAUGAAUAAGGAUCGGCUAACUCCGUGCCAGCAGCCGCGGUAAUCCGGAGGAUCCGAGCGUUCGCCGGAUGUAUUGGGUUUAAAGGGAGCGUAGAUGGGGUGUUAAGUCAGGUGUGAAAGUUUGCGGCUUAAACGUAAAAUUGCAAUUGAUACUGGCAGUCUUGAGUACAGGUGAGGUAGGCGGAAUUCGUGGUGUAGCGGUGAAAUGCUUAGAUAUCACGAAGAACCCCGAUUGCGAAGGCAGCUUACUAAACUGUGACUGACAUUGAUGCUCGAAAGUGUGGGUAUCAAACAGGAUGAGAUACCCUAGUAGUC